Molecule: ribosomal RNA, 164 nt
Filed under: Calligonum arborescens
Lineage: Eukaryota; Viridiplantae; Streptophyta; Magnoliopsida; Caryophyllales; Polygonaceae
Description: 5.8S ribosomal RNA
Rfam family: 5.8S ribosomal RNA
About the family: 5.8S ribosomal RNA (5.8S rRNA) is a component of the large subunit of the eukaryotic ribosome. It is transcribed by RNA polymerase I as part of the 45S precursor that also contains 18S and 28S rRNA.
Source: RNAcentral
AGAACGACUCUCGGCAACGGAUAUCUCGGCUCUCGCAUCGAUGAAGAACGUAGCGAAAUGCGAUACUUGGUGUGAAUUGCAGAAUCCCGUGAACCAUCGAGUCUUUGAACGCAAGUUGCGCCCGAGGCCUACCGGCCAAGGGCACGCCUGUCUGGGCGUCACGC